CAGUUUUAGGGAUGAGGAGUAGUAAGAGGUCUUAAUAUAUGGUUUGGUAUUCUUUGUCCAUACGCGGUUUUCUCUUUUACUACAUUUCUUAUUAUUUAAUUCAAGACUACAUUUCUUAUUAAUAGAAAUAUAAAUAAAUCAUUACUGUUGUCCAUCCUUUUUCUUAUCAUCUUAGUCUAGAAAUUAAAAAUAUGUAAUAAUGAGUUAUAGUUGUGUUUGUAUUAUUAUUAGAGUGGCAGAACAGACUAGUUCUGUCCGUUUAAGACUAGCCUGAUAUAGGUUUAUCUAAACUGGUCUAUCAAUUGGAAAUAGGUUGAAAUUUACAACAUAGAUCGUGAGUUGCCGGAUUGUCAGUUUUGAUUUUUUUUCCUAAACAAACUAAAAUAUGUUGUAGAUUGUGUGGGUCACCAAUUUUUAUUAUUUUUUGCUACAUUAUCACAUUAGC
RNAcentral lists this long non-coding RNA (445 nucleotides) under Vigna radiata. RNAcentral describes it as "long non-coding RNA (VRAD_LNC004287)". The record is from RNAcentral. Lineage: Eukaryota; Viridiplantae; Streptophyta; Magnoliopsida; Fabales; Fabaceae.